ACUGGCAGCCAUAUCACCCUGUAGCUCAAGACUGGUUACCCACUGAAGCUAAGCAGGGCUGAGCCUGGUCAGUACCUGGAUGGGAGACCUCCUAGGAAAACUAGGUUGCUGCUGGAA
Ribosomal RNA from Sinocyclocheilus grahami, 117 nucleotides. Lineage: Eukaryota; Metazoa; Chordata; Actinopteri; Cypriniformes; Cyprinidae. The record is from Ensembl.